AUGUGGUUUAAUUCGAAGCAACGCGCAGAACCUACCAGCCUUUGACAUGGCGAGGACGACUUCCGGAGACGGAUUUCUUCCAGCAAUGGACCUGCACACAGGUGCUGCAUGGCUGUCGUCAGCUCGUGUCGUGAGAUGUUGGGUUAAGUCCCGCAACGAGCGCAACCCUCGCCUCUAGUUGCCAUCAUUCAGUUGGGCACUCUAGAGGGACUGCCGGUGAUAAGCCGAGAGGAAGGUGGGGAUGACGUCAAGUCCUCAUGGCCCUUACGGGCUGGGCUACACACGUGCUACAAUGGCGGUGACAGUGGGAUGCGAACCCGCGAGGGUAAGCAAAUCUCCAAAAGCCGUCUCAGUUCGGAUUGCACUCUGCAACUCGAGUGCAUGAAGUUGGAAUCGCUAGUAAUCGUGGAUCAGCAUGCCACGGUCGAAUACGUUCCCGGGCCUU
Molecule: ribosomal RNA, 445 nt
Filed under: uncultured Xanthobacter sp.
Lineage: Bacteria; Pseudomonadati; Pseudomonadota; Alphaproteobacteria; Hyphomicrobiales; Xanthobacteraceae
Description: bacterial SSU rRNA
Rfam family: Bacterial small subunit ribosomal RNA
Source: RNAcentral